GAUGAAGAACGUAGCGAAAUGCGAUAAGUAAUGUGAAUUGCAGAAUUCAGUGAAUCAUCGAAUCUUUGAACGCAUCUUGCGCUCCUUGGUAUUCUGAGGAGCAUGCCUGUUUGAGUGUCAUUAAAUUCUCAACUACACUGACUUUGAAUUGGUGCGGCUUGGAUUUGGGGGGAAAAUUGUUGUGGGCUUUUUGUAUAGUCUGCUCCCCUGAAAUUGAUUAGCGGUACCUUUGUGGAACUGUCUACAGGUGUGAUAAUUAUCUACAUCUUAGACAUCUGCUGGAAUGCUGCUUUCUAAACCUUACUUGUAUUGACAAUCUUGACCUCAAAUCAGGUAGGACUACCCGCUGAACUUAAGCAUAUCAAUAAGCGGAGGA
RNAcentral lists this unclassified non-coding RNA (376 nucleotides) under soil metagenome. RNAcentral's name for it is "partial contains 5.8S ribosomal RNA, internal transcribed spacer 2, and large subunit ribosomal RNA". The stretch from base 1 to 120 matches the Rfam family "5.8S ribosomal RNA", at positions 35 to 154 of the family's 154-position model. The record is from RNAcentral.